Oncorhynchus tshawytscha (Chinook salmon) is the source of this 2567-nucleotide long non-coding RNA. The record is from Ensembl. Lineage: Eukaryota; Metazoa; Chordata; Actinopteri; Salmoniformes; Salmonidae.
UGAAGGUGUUGUUUCCAGGAUGCUCCCGUCAUUUGUGGGAAUGCUUGACGGAAGAACAAAGCACUUUGGCAGGUACAGACAGACAUUCACACCACUGGCAGUGGGCUGGAAUAAGAGGAAGUUCACCAACAUGGAUGUUGGCAAAAAGACAUGUGAAGAACGUCAGAAGACUGAAGGAGGAGACCAGCCUCCUUGAAGCAAAGCAGAGUUGGACAUCAAUGACACUGUGCUUCUGGAGUGGGUUGCUGGGGUGCUACAGUGGCCUGAAGACGAGAGGAGGACAAGAGAUGACGAGAGAACUGGAUGAGAACAAGCAGCCUUGACAGCUGCCAUCGUUCAACUUCACGAGCAGCAGACGGAGUUCAGGCUCCCAACAGUGGAGGAGCUGCUCAAUACUGACAACUGUGUGUGGCCAUGGGAGAGUCUUGGCACCAGUAAGAAACAUGAUUGCAGAAGGUAUCUAUUGUGAUUGAAUGUUUACCUUCAGCAUAGGAUACAAUGAUUGCUGUUGUUCUGUUAUAUACCUCUGUGAGUUUACAUCUCACAGGCAACAGCCAUCUGGGCUCCCGAGUGGAGCAGGGGUCUAAGACACUGCAUCUCAGUGCUAUGUGAGGGGGGCUCCAGAGUGGAGCAGGGGUCUAAGACACUGCAUCUCAGUGCUAUAUGGGGGGCUCCAGAGUGGAGCAGGGGUCUAAGACACUGCAUCUCAGUGCUAUGUGGGGGGCUCCAGAGUGGAGCAGGGGUCUAAGACACUGCAUCUCAGUGCUAUGUGGGGGCUCCAGAGUGGAGCAGGGGUCUAAGACACUGCAUCUCAGUGCUAUAUGGGGGCUCCAGAGUGGAGCAGGGGUCUAAGACACUGCAUCUCAGUGCUAGAUGUGUCGCUACAGACACCCUGGUUCAAGUCCAGUUGUAUCACAACUGGCCAUGAUUGGGAGGCCCAUAGGGUGGUGCACAACUGGCCAUGAUUGGGAGUCCCAUAGGGUGGUGCACAACUGGCCAUGAUUGGGAGUCCCAUAGGGUGGUGCACAACUGGCCAUGAUUGGGAGUCCCAUAGGGUGGUGCACAACUGGCCAUGAUUGGGAGUCCCAUAGGGUGGUGCACAACUGGCCAUAAUUGGGAGUCCCAUAGGGUGGUGCACAACUGGCCCAGCGUUGCCGGUGUAGGAUGCCAUUGUAAAUAAGAAUUUGUUCUUAACUUCGUUGCCCAGUUAAAUAGGUUACAUUGCCUUUUUGAUUUACAAAAAAAAUAAAAAAGAAUCUUCGACAGACUGAUGGUGAACAGACUGCAGGAGGAAGAGAAGGUCCUGGUGCAGGAGAGGAGGCACUAGGGGAGCCUACAAAGAGCAGUAGGAUCCCUGGAGGCACUGUCCCUACAGCUGCAAGAUCAGAGGAAGUUGAGGUUUAUACUAUUUUUGGACCGAACAUUUUGUCUUGCUUUACAAAUACCCUCCACACUAUUUUGUGUAAUGGAAUUGUAAAUAAUUUACUGCUUUAUAUGUGACUUUUAGGCAGUGGGCACAAAACCAAGUCAACAGCAGGAACAGCUACCACAAGCUGAUUCUGGGAGAAGGGGAUAUUUUUGACGACUGAUGAAGAUGAGCUCAGAUGAAGAUAGAUGUCCUAUUGCUGAGAGCUCAGACGAUGCCUGCUAUGUUUUCUGAAAUCAUACACCUCCCCUGCCACAGGAGAGGGAGAAGGCCACCUCCCCUGCCUCUUUCUCUCAUUCUCUGUCUCCCACAGGAGAGGGAGAAGGCCACCACCCUUGCCACUUUGUCUCGGUCUCUCUCUCCCACAGGAAAGGGAGAAAGCCACCACCCCUGCCUCUUUCUCUCGGUCUCUCUCCCGCAGAAGAGGGAAAAGGUCACCACCACCUCCCUUUUGAGAAGCCUGGUCUCCUGAUGUUGACCCCCUAACCCCUCACCUUCUGAACUCAUCCAGGUCAAUGUAAUUUGCCUGAUGACGUGCUAGUGGAGAAGGAAUGUGUCAUUUGAGCGCAUUUGUUCCCAUGUUUCCUCUCCUCUGUUUCUUCCGGUCCUAGACUACGGCGACAUCAUCAGCAACUCAGACAGUUGGUUGCGUACCUCUUUACUAAGGAAUGUGGUUGGUUUAUUUUCUUGGAGUAUUUACUAUGCUGCUGUGAUUUAGAUGUUUGCAAAAUAAUCCUUGGUCUCAAUGAGACUGCUAAAAUAAAUAAAUAAAGAUCUUAAUAAAUAAAUGCAUUAACUUCUUAUGGCUGUAGGGGCAGUAUUGAGUAGCUUCAAAUCAAAUCAAAUCAAAUCAAAUUUUAUUUGUCACAUACACAUGGUUAGCAGAUGUUAAUGCGAGUGUAGCGAAUUGCUUGUGCUUCUAGUUCCGACAAUGCAGUAAUAACCAACAAGUAAUCUAACUAACAAUUCCAAAACUACUGUCUUAUACACAGUGUAAGGGGAUAAAGAAUAUGUACAUAAGGAUAUAUGAAUGAGUGAUGGUACAGAGCAGCAUAGGCAAGAUACAGUAGAUGAUAUCGAGUACAGUAUAUACAUAUGAGAUAAGUAUGUAAACCAAGUGGCAUAGUUAAAGUGGCUAGUG